Molecule: unclassified non-coding RNA, 203 nt
Filed under: Helicogloea aquilonia
Lineage: Eukaryota; Fungi; Basidiomycota; Atractiellomycetes; Atractiellales; Helicogloeaceae
Description: partial internal transcribed spacer 2
Source: RNAcentral
AACUCUCAACCCUCUUACCUUUGUUUAUCACUGGCAUCAGGGCUUGGAUCAUGAGUGCCUGCUGGACCUGUGCAUCAGCUCACUCUAAAUGUAUCAGUGGUCUGCUUCUUCUGUCUUGCAGAUAGAUCUGGUGUAAUAGGUUUUUAUUCACUGGGAAUCUGUGGGGCAGGGUGUUGCUUGCCGCUUCCAAACAACCAUUAUGU